This 467-nucleotide ribosomal RNA is filed under the name uncultured bacterium. Its description in RNAcentral is "partial 16S ribosomal RNA". It matches the Rfam family "Bacterial small subunit ribosomal RNA", at positions 28 to 506 of the family's 1533-position model. The record is from RNAcentral.
GACGAACGCUGGCGGCGUGCUUAACACAUGCAAGUCGAACGGAAAGGCCCUGCUUUUGUGGGGUGCUCGAGUGGCGAACGGGUGAGUAACGCGUGAGUAACCUGCCCUUGACUUUGGGAUAACUUCAGGAAACUGGGGCUAAUACCGGAUAGGAGCUCCUGCUGCAUGGUGGGGGUUGGAAAGUUUCGGCGGUUGGGGAUGGACUCGCGGCUUAUCAGCUUGUUGGUGGGGUAGUGGCUUACCAAGGCUUUGACGGGUAGCCGGCCUGAGAGGGUGACCGGCCACAUUGGGACUGAGAUACGGCCCAGACUCCUACGGGAGGCAGCAGUGGGGAAUAUUGCACAAUGGGCGGAAGCCUGAUGCAGCAACGCCGCGUGCGGGAUGACGGCCUUCGGGUUGGAAACCGCUUUCGCCUGUGACGAAGCGUGAGUGACGGUAAUGGGUAAAGAAGCACCGGCUAACUACGU